CUACGGGGGGCUGCAGUGGGGAAUAUUGGACAAUGGGCGCAAGCCUGAUCCAGCAAUGCCGCGUGAGUGAAGACGGCCUUAGGGUUGUAAAACUCUUUCGCUAGGGAAGAUAAUGACUGUACCUAGUAAAGAAGUCCCGGCUAACUCCGUGCCAGCAGCCGCGGUAAUACGGAGGGGACUAGCGUUGUUCGGAAUUACUGGGCGUAAAGAGUUCGUAGGCGGACUGACAAGUUAGAGGUGAAAUCCCAGGGCUCAACCCUGGAACUGCCUUUAAAACUGUCAGUCUAGAGACCGGAAGAGGUUAGGGGAAUACCUAGUGUAGAGGUGAAAUUCGUAGAUAUUAGGUGGAACACCAGUGGCGAAGGCGCCUAACUGGUCCGGUACUGACGCUGAGGAACGAAAGCGUGGGGAGCAAACAGGAUUAGAUACCCUGGUAGUC
RNAcentral lists this ribosomal RNA (439 nucleotides) under uncultured bacterium. RNAcentral describes it as "partial 16S ribosomal RNA". It matches the Rfam family "Bacterial small subunit ribosomal RNA", at positions 339 to 795 of the family's 1533-position model. The record is from RNAcentral.